UAGGGAAUCUUCGGCAAUGGGGGGAACCCUGACCGAGCAACGCCGCGUGAGUGAAGAAGGUUUUCGGAUCGUAAAGCUCUGUUGUUAAGGAAGAACGAGUGUGAGAAUGGAAAGUUCAUACUGUGACGGUACUUAACCAGAAAGGGACGGCUAACUACGUGCCAGCAGCCGCGGUAAUACGCAGGUGGCAAGCGUUAUCCGGAAUUAUUGGGCGUAAAGCGCGCGUAGGCGGUUUUUUAAGUCUGAUGUGAAAGCCCACGGCUCAACCGUGGAGGGUCAUUGGAAACUGGUUGACUUGAGUGCAGAAGAGGAGAGUGGAAUUCCAUGUGUAGCGGUGAAAUGCGUAGAUAUAUGGAGGAACACCAGUGGCGAAGGCGACUCUCUGGUCUGUAACUGACGCUGAGGCUCGAAAGCGUGGGUAGCAAACAGG
Molecule: ribosomal RNA, 430 nt
Filed under: Bacteroidota bacterium
Lineage: Bacteria; Pseudomonadati; Bacteroidota
Description: Bacteroidetes bacterium partial 16S ribosomal RNA
Rfam family: Bacterial small subunit ribosomal RNA
Source: RNAcentral